UGAUAGCGAUGAAGCGUGAGGUUGCCGCGCAGGGCGCGGGUUUUUCCGUGGAGCGAAUGUCAAGUUAGCAAACUGGCGACAA
Molecule: non-coding RNA, 82 nt
Filed under: chicken gut metagenome
Description: S10-Clostridia ribosomal protein leader
Rfam family: S10-Clostridia ribosomal protein leader
Source: RNAcentral